GACGAACGCUGGCGGCGUGCUUAACACAUGCAAGUCGAACGGAAAGGCCCUGCUUUUGGGGGGUGCUCGAGUGGCGAACGGGUGAGUAACACGUGAGUAACCUGCCCUUGACUUUGGGAUAACUUCAGGAAACUGGGGCUAAUACCGGAUAGGAGCUCCUGCUGCAUGGUGGGGGUUGGAAAGUUUCGGCGGUUGGGGAUGGACUCGCGGCUUAUCAGCUUGUUGGUGGGGUAGUGGCUUACCAAGGCUUUGACGGGUAGCCGGCCUGAGAGGGUGACCGGCCACAUUGGGACUGAGAUACGGCCCAGCCUCCUACGGGAGGCAGCAGUGGGGAAUAUUGCACAAUGGGCGGAAGCCUGAUGCAGCAACGCCGCGUGCGGGAUGACGGCCUUCGGGUUGUAAACCGCUUUCGCCUGUGACGAAGCGUGAGUGACGGUAAUGGGUAAAGAAGCACCGGCUAACUACGUG
This 468-nucleotide ribosomal RNA is filed under the name uncultured bacterium. RNAcentral describes it as "partial 16S ribosomal RNA". It matches the Rfam family "Bacterial small subunit ribosomal RNA", at positions 28 to 507 of the family's 1533-position model. The record is from RNAcentral.